CAAGUAACUUGGUGGCAACUACAUCAGCAUGUUAUCCAGGUGUGCUGACCCCUGGGAUUUCCCCAACUGUGGGAAACUUGACUGCAUAAUUUGUGGUAGAGGGGACUCGUUCACAUUCUCCCCU
RNAcentral lists this small nuclear RNA (124 nucleotides) under Myotis lucifugus (little brown bat). RNAcentral describes it as "U1 spliceosomal RNA (ENSMLUG00000021232.1)". Lineage: Eukaryota; Metazoa; Chordata; Mammalia; Chiroptera; Vespertilionidae. The record is from RNAcentral.